CAGCGCCACGAGUGGUGAUCAUAUUAUUGGGUCUAAAGCGUCCGUAGCCGGUUUGGUAAAUCUCUUGUGAAAUUGUUGGGCUUAACCUAACAACGUGCAGGGGAAACUGCCAGGCUAGGGACCGGGAGAGGUUAGGAGAAUGCCUGGGGGAGCGGUAAAAUGCUAUAAUCCCAGGUAGACUACCAGUGGCGAAGGCGCCUAACCAGAACGGGUCCGACGGUGAGGGACGAAAGCCAGGGGAGCAAUCCGGAUUAGAGACCCGAGUAGUCC
RNAcentral lists this ribosomal RNA (270 nucleotides) under uncultured archaeon. RNAcentral's name for it is "partial 16S ribosomal RNA". It matches the Rfam family "Archaeal small subunit ribosomal RNA", at positions 477 to 747 of the family's 1478-position model. The record is from RNAcentral.